UACUUUCUUGAUAGAUAUGUACUCUGGACCU
RNAcentral lists this non-coding RNA (31 nucleotides) under Mus musculus (house mouse). Lineage: Eukaryota; Metazoa; Chordata; Mammalia; Rodentia; Muridae. The record is from RNAcentral.